CUAGGUUCAAAUGCUCUCCUCAUCUAGAAAAAUUUCUCAACUCUCUCAGGAUCAAGCACCCCAUGAAUGAACUUAGUAACAAAGUACAAGGCUAUAUUAGCCCAGGUUUAGAAUGCAGAGCCACCACUGCCCUCACGGGCACGCCACACCGCCUUGAAUUAGUGUAGUAUCAAGGGCAAAGCUAUAUAUUAGCCCAAGGUUCAUCUCUAAAUAUGUUUGUCUGUUACAGGACUUGAAUAUUUCACCAGAUUCAAUACUGCAGAAUGUAGAUGAGCAGACAGUUCAUAGUCUCAAUGGAUGCAGAGUGACUGAUCAAAUUUUGCGUUUGGUCCCAAAUAUUCAGAGCUUUCGUACUACACUGAGAUGUGUGACACUCUGGGCAAAGUGAUGUGGGGUUUAUUCAAAUGUUUCAAGGUUUCUUGGUGGUAUCAAUUGGGCGUUACUUGUUGCUCGUAUAUGCCAACGUUACACAUGGUGUAUCAUGUACAUUGAUGAAUAAAUUUCAUUAAAUAUUAUUAUAAUUAGUGAUGUGUAAAAUAUGUGGUGCAUCUGCCAUCACUGGGGUUUCUCUAGCCGACGGAAAAAAAAGCACAUCAAUUGUUGAGAUUUAUUCCUCGGAUGCGCUAACAUGAUACAUAUUCAUUGUAGUACUUGAUUCUGUUCUUAUCAUGUGUUGGUUGGAUCUCAUUUUUUUUAAUUGUUGAGAUUUACUAAUAUGUUAUUGCUUGUUUAGGUCUCCGAUAAUUUACUUCAUGAUGCUAGUAGCAAUCAAGAAACUUUAAUCUUUUGUUCUCAAACCCUCAGAAGCAAGGUUUUGGUAUAUCAAGGCAGCCUUUCUUUUCACAUAUCAUAGUGCAUUUUGCUUGUGAUGGACAGGUACAACGAGAUUUUGAAGAGCUGCCUUCUGAAGCUUUUCGCCUGUUACGAGAUUUAUUAAAUAGCUUAUUGAAAACAUUUCACAAAGGCCCCCCCUAAAGUUAGAACCCAGAUUAGCCUUGCUGUGGCUGCAUUGGCUGUUCAUGUUCCUGCUAAAGAUUGGGGUGAUGGUGGCAUUGUAAAUUGGCUUAGAGAUGAGAUGAAUUCUCACCCCGAAUGCAUACCAAGCUUCCUCGAGCUACUAAGAGUUUUGCCUGAGGAUCCCUGCUUCUACACUUGCUUCUCACCCAUUGGUGCUAACAGCUCUCUCUAGCUUGAAUUCUGAUAUCCUUUCAGAGGCAUCCGUGAAUGUUAUAUAAUCAUCAUUUUGGUGAAGAUGAUUGAUGACUUGAUGAAGCUGAAGAGAGCUAUGGAUGAAGUUAUUUUCAGAGAAUUUGGAGAGCACACUGAAUAUUAUUAUUUUUAUGAUUUUGUAUUGUCAUAUUGUAUUUAAAGGGGUUUUAUAAGUUUUUUAAGUUUUUUCAUUUUUUAAUAUAUGUAAGCACAGAUAAUUUUUUUUAUUUAAUUCCUUUGUAUAUAGUUUUGAAUAUUUAAUUUCCAUUUAUGAAAUAUAUGACGUUAUUCUA
Camellia sinensis is the source of this 1502-nucleotide non-coding RNA. NCBI's taxonomy places the organism in Eukaryota, Viridiplantae, Streptophyta, Magnoliopsida, Ericales, Theaceae. The record is from RefSeq and is a predicted model, not a curated record.